CCAAGGGAGAUGCUGCCAGCCGGCACUAGGCAGAGAGCGGCAUCCUUGGGCUGCUUCCUAAAGGACCUUCCCGGCGGGGAGGGGGCCCUCGCCGCUGGUCCGCUCCUCCUCCUCCUGCUGCUGCUGCUGCCUAGGGGCUGAGCUGGGACUUCGCUGCCUUUCUUACCCGGCUCCCUCCUCAACCCAGCCGGCUCGGAAGAGAAUCCUGCGGAACUCAAUGGGACUUAAUUCUAAAUAAAAAUUAACGGGAAUGU
This is a long non-coding RNA of Candoia aspera, 254 nucleotides long. RefSeq lists it as uncharacterized. Lineage: Eukaryota; Metazoa; Chordata; Lepidosauria; Squamata; Candoiidae. The record is from RefSeq and is a predicted model, not a curated record. The transcript is spliced from 2 exons.